GGCGAGUGAGCGGCAGAGCUCAGAUUUGAAAUCGUGCUAAUUUUUUUGGCACGAGUUGUAGAGUGUAGGCGGGAGUCUUUGUGGAGCACGGUGUCCAAGUCCCUUGGAACAGGGCGCCUGAGAGGGUGAGAGCCCCGUGGGGUGCCGUGCGAAGCUUUGAGGCCCUGCUGACGAGUCGAGUUGUUUGGGAAUGCAGCUCCGAGUGGGUGGUAAAUUCCAUCUAAGGCUAAAUACUGGCGAGAGACCGAUAGCGAACAAGUACUGUGAAGGAAAGAUGAAAAGCACUUUGAAAAGAGAGUGAAACAGCACGUGAAAUUGUUGAAAGGGAAGGGUAUUGGGCCCGACAUGGGGAGUGCGCACCGCUGUCUCUUGUAGGCGGCGCUCUGGGCGCUCUCUGGGCCAGCAUCGGUUCUUGCUGCGGGAGAAUGGGUGCCGGAAAGUGGCUCUUCGGAGUGUUAUAGCCGGCGCCAGAUACCGCGUGCGGGGACCGAGGACUGCGGCUUCUGUCUCGGAUGCUGGCACAACGGCGCAAUACCGCCCUCUU
This 544-nucleotide ribosomal RNA is filed under the name Pichia membranifaciens. Its description in RNAcentral is "partial large subunit ribosomal RNA". It matches the Rfam family "Eukaryotic large subunit ribosomal RNA", at positions 88 to 655 of the family's 3401-position model. The record is from RNAcentral. Lineage: Eukaryota; Fungi; Ascomycota; Pichiomycetes; Pichiales; Pichiaceae.